GGCACGACUGCUCGUCUGCACGGCUUCUUCUCGUAGUUCUUCUUUCCGCUUCCCCACGGUAAAAGCGACCAGGCUCACCAGAGCGCCCAGUAACAAAGACAAGACGACCAAGCCGAGCAACUCCAUCUCUCUCUGCCACUUGCUAAACGCCAAAGGCGCGUUGUCGCCAAUUGCAGGCUUGGUGUCGAACUGCAUUGCAGUCAUCCAAGCUGAACAUAGACCGCUCUGAUGGUGCGCUUCCGCUAUGGAGACAAAGUCAGAGAGGCGAUAUUGAGAUGGCUUGGACAUGUGCAGAGGAGGGAACAUAGGGAGAAGGAUGCUGAGGAUGGAGCCACCAGGCAGAAGAGAGGCCAGAUAUACACAGAUAGUGCCAUCCUAUAAGCUAAUGAUUCAGAGUAAUGCUUAAAAUAGUAGUUGAUGCAAACUAAAUGCACAUAAACAGAUGAUUACUAUUCAGUGCUUGGCAUUGAAUAGGGAGGUUUAAAAACAAUACAAAAUGAGCUUUUGGUCACAAUCUGCAUCUUGGUUUGUUUGGAGUCGUUUUAAUGAAGUCCUCUGAGGAUUUCACUCAAAAUGAAGCAACUAAAAUCUCUAGCAGUGGAUAUGGCCCACUGGCUGCUUGCUUGUAAGUUAUUUAUUGGGGCUGUUCAGUGUCUUUAAUAAAAAGGAAUGCACCCCCUCGGA
Syngnathus acus (greater pipefish) is the source of this 684-nucleotide long non-coding RNA. RefSeq lists it as uncharacterized. The record is from RefSeq and is a predicted model, not a curated record. NCBI's taxonomy places the organism in Eukaryota, Metazoa, Chordata, Actinopteri, Syngnathiformes, Syngnathidae. The transcript is spliced from 2 exons.